AAAUCUUUUUCUUACUAGGAUGUUUUGAAAAUUUUAGUUUAGUUAAUAAAAUCAUUUUUAUUCGUAAAAGUUUGUGUAUAGGUUAUAGAUAAAAUUAUGUGUGUAAUAGAUUAAUUGUAUUGUGAAAGGUUGAUUGAAAUAGGUUGAAAAUAUAAUUUAAGAAAAGUAGACUUAAUUUGUUGUACCUUGUGUAUCAGGGUUUAUUAAAAAGUAUAUAAAUAUUUAUAUUUCCCGAUUUAAAGAGAGCUAAUUAAUUAUGUUAGUUAAUGUAGAAUAAUUAUUAAUAAUAGUUAAUUAGUAAUGAAACGUUAUCCGUUCUUUAAGGUAUCUGGUUUUUUAAGAAAUGAAUUUAAUUCAGGUGCAAAAUAUUUCAAGUAUUUAAUUUAUAGGAAGUAAUUGUAGUUUUGCACUAAUGCUUUGAGGGAUAAGCUUCGGAGCAUAAUCUAUAAAGUAGAAUAAAAUAAAAAUCUUGUAGGCUUAGAAUUAGCCAACGAUAGAAGGAUGUUAUAAUUUAGUUUUUAUUUAAUAAAAUUUUCUGGAAGUUUAGAUAGUUCAUUAAAAUGUUACUUAUAAUAUUUUAAAGUUAGUAAUAAUGAUAAAAUUAGUAUAAAAAUUGUUUAUUAAUUAAAUGUAGUGUAAGGUUACAUUAAGGAAUUAGGCAAAUAAGUGCUCGCCUGUUUAACAAAAACAUGUCUUCUUGAUAAUAAUUUGAAGUCUGACCUGCCCACUGAACGUAAAGUUUAAAGGGCCGCGGUAUUUUGACCGUGCAAAGGUAGCAUAAUCAUUAGUCUUUUAAUUGGAGGCUAGAAUGAAUGGUUGGACGAGGCACUGACUGUCUCAGUGUAAAUGAGAGUAGAAUUUAACUUUUAAGUCAAAAGGCUUAAAUAGAUUUAAAGGACGAGAAGACCCUAUAGAGCUUUAUAUUGUCUUGUAUAUUAUUUAUUUAGACGAUUUUUUAUAGUAUAGGAGUUAGUAUUUUGUUGGGGUGACAGGAAGAUAAAUAAAACUCUUUUUAGUUUAAAACCAUUGAUUUAUGAAUUGUUGAUCCAUUUUUAGUGAUUAUAAGACUAAGUUACCUUAGGGAUAACAGCGUAAUCUUUUUCGAGAGUUCUUAUCGACAAAAAGGGUUGCGACCUCGAUGUUGGAUUAAGGGUAAUUUUGGGUGUAGAUGUUCAAAGUUUAGGUCUGUUCGACCUUUAAAUCCUUACAUGAUCUGAGUUCAGACCGGUGUAAGCCAGGUCGGUUUCUAUCCUUAAUUAAUAGUGAUGUUUUAGUACGAAAGGACCAAAUAUUGGGAAUAAAUUCUUAGUGAGUUGAUUUAUAUUAACAGGUGU
Molecule: ribosomal RNA, 1334 nt
Filed under: Rhabdiopteryx christinae
Lineage: Eukaryota; Metazoa; Arthropoda; Insecta; Plecoptera; Taeniopterygidae
Description: 16S ribosomal RNA
Rfam family: Archaeal large subunit ribosomal RNA (bases 630-1334)
Source: RNAcentral